AGAGUUAAACAGUACGUGAAAUUGUUGAAAGGGAAACGAUUGAAGCCAGUCGUACCUUCGGGUAAUCAGCCUUUCGGGUGCGAUUCUGUGGAGUGUGAGGAGCUUAACACCUUCAUGCUUUGCAUAUUUGUGCUCUUGGGUGUACUUGCCCGUGUGGUUGGUUAACAUCAAUUUUGGUUAUCAUAAAAUGAUUGGAGGAAUGUAGCUUCGAUCUCGUAUUGAAGUGUUAUAGCCUUCGGUAGAUGUGAUGAUCGAGAUUGAGGAUUGCAACGGAUACCCUUCGGGGCUACCUGUCUGGUCUCUGAUCGUUGCUCUGGUGCCGAAAGCUUGCUUACGGUUAUCAAAGUCGAUGGUCAAUAGGUUAGAACGGGUUAAAUUCGUUAAGGAUGUUGACGUAAUGGCUUUAAACGACC
This 413-nucleotide non-coding RNA is filed under the name uncultured fungus. RNAcentral also lists the same sequence under 1 other name. Lineage: Eukaryota; Fungi. The record is from RNAcentral.